Molecule: small nuclear RNA, 19 nt
Filed under: Arabidopsis thaliana (thale cress)
Lineage: Eukaryota; Viridiplantae; Streptophyta; Magnoliopsida; Brassicales; Brassicaceae
Description: snRNA_01887
Source: RNAcentral
UGACUACCAGGUAAACCAA